CGUUCCGAGGACCCCCGCUCCCCACACUCCCACACCUGAGCUGUAUAUUUCAGCUGAAAGGCUGUUUCAUGUUCCAGAACCCUCUCUGCUUGCAAGCAAGCUGUCACAACUUUAUGGCCUCGACUUGAAAGAGCAGGACAUGGUUUUCCCGGAGAAGAAGGCUAAUAGGAGCUAGGAAGGACCUUUCAAACAAUUCCAGGAACUGGAGACACGUGCCCAGCCAAGGAGCAGAUUGGAAGCAGACAUUGAGGAAAACAGGUGCUCAGGUCUUUGGAAAACCUGCUCCCUUCCUGUCCCCUUCCAGGCCAGGUUUCGGAUGCCAACAAGAUGCUGACCAGACUUCCCUGGACAGAUGACUCCAUCAAUAUGUCCUGGAGCUCCGCUUCCCCAGAGCCCCACCCUUCUAGGGAAAGAGAGAGGCAGACUGGGAGUAUGGAUCAACCAGUCAACGCCCAUGUUCAGCGGGGAAGCAAUUACAGAAGCCAGACCUUCCACCCCCUGCAACCUACAAGGACCCUGGAUCCAUACUCCCGGAGAGAUAGAGAAUGGGAAAGCUAUCAGGGGAGGGGAGGGGAUGGGAUAUGGAGAUCGGGUUAUGGGAAUUGUGGAAAUGUACCCCUCUUAU
Long non-coding RNA from Erinaceus europaeus (western European hedgehog), 625 nucleotides. RefSeq lists it as uncharacterized. The record is from RefSeq and is a predicted model, not a curated record. The transcript is spliced from 3 exons. NCBI's taxonomy places the organism in Eukaryota, Metazoa, Chordata, Mammalia, Eulipotyphla, Erinaceidae.